RNAcentral lists this ribosomal RNA (496 nucleotides) under uncultured bacterium. RNAcentral's name for it is "partial 16S ribosomal RNA". It matches the Rfam family "Bacterial small subunit ribosomal RNA", at positions 28 to 506 of the family's 1533-position model. The record is from RNAcentral.
GAUGAACGCUGGCGGCGUGCCUAAUACAUGCAAGUCGAGCGAACAGACGAGGAGCUUGCUCCUCUGACGUUAGCGGCGGACGGGUGAGUAACACGUGGAUAACCUACCUAUAAGACUGGGAUAACUUCGGGAAACCGGAGCUAAUACCGGAUAAUAUAUUGAACCGCAUGGUUCAAUAGUGAAAGACGGUUUUGCUGGCACUUAUAGAUGGAUCCGCGCCGCAUUAGCUAGUUGGUAAGGUAACGGCUUACCAAGGCAACGAUGCGUAGCCGACCUGAGAGGGUGAUCGGCCACACUGGAACUGAGACACGGUCCAGACUCCUACGGGAGGCAGCAGUAGGGAAUCUUCCGCAAUGGGCGAAAGCCUGACGGAGCAACGCCGCGUGAGUGAUGAAGGUCUUCGGAUCGUAAAACUCUGUUAUUAGGGAAGAACAAAUGUGUAAGUAACUAUGCACGUCUUGACGGUACCUAAUCAGAAAGCCACGGCUAACUACGU